UUUCUCGCGCGUGCUUACACUGCAAGUCGAACGAUGAUCUCCCGCUUGCGGGAGUGAUUAGUGGCGAACGGGUGAGUAAUACGUGAGUAACCUGCCCUUGACUCUGGGAUAAGCCUGGGAAACCGGGUCUAAUACUGGAUACGACCCCCUGUCGCAUGGUGGGGGGUGGAAAGGGUUUGACUGGUUUUGGAUGGGCUCACGGCCUAUCAGCUUGUUGGUGGGGUAAUGGCUCACCAAGGCGACGACGGGUAGCCGGCCUGAGAGGGUGACCGGCCACACUGGGACUGAGACACGGCCCAGACUCCUACGGGAGGCAGCAGUGGGGAAUAUUGCACAAUGGGCGCAAGCCUGAUGCAGCGACGCCGCGUGAGGGAUGACGGCCUUCGGGUUGUAAACCUCUUUCAGCAGGGAAGAAGCCACAAGUGACGGUACCUGCAGAAGAAGCGCCGGCUAACUACGUGCCAGCAGCCGCGGUAAUACGUACGGCGCAAGCGUUGUCCGGAAUAUUGGGCGUAAAGAGCUCGUAGCGGUUUGUCGCGUCUGCUGUGAAGCCCGGGGCUCAACCCCGGUCUGCAGUGGGUACGGCAGACUAGAGUGCAGUAGGGAGACUGUAUUCCUGGUGUAGCGUGAAAUGCGCAGAUAUCAGAGAACACCGAUGGCGAUGCAGGUCUCUGGGCUGUUACUGACCUGAGACGAGCAUGGACGAAGAUUAAUCCUGUAGUCAUGCCGUAACGUGCACUAGUGUGGACUUCCGUCCCGCCCUACUCAUUAGUGCCUGGGAGUCGCAGCUAACUCAUGAGUGAGGGCCAGCGACAUCGAUUAUCCACCUACUCGACCAAUCCUGGGUG
This 848-nucleotide ribosomal RNA is filed under the name bacterium Ph10. RNAcentral's name for it is "bacterial SSU rRNA". It matches the Rfam family "Bacterial small subunit ribosomal RNA". The record is from RNAcentral.